Mytilus trossulus (common blue mussel) is the source of this 473-nucleotide long non-coding RNA. RefSeq lists it as uncharacterized. The transcript is spliced from 2 exons. NCBI's taxonomy places the organism in Eukaryota, Metazoa, Mollusca, Bivalvia, Mytilida, Mytilidae. The record is from RefSeq and is a predicted model, not a curated record.
UUUAGCAGAAAUCACCUUACAGCACGUUUAACAUCAUAGGGGUUUAUUUCGAACGGCAGACGAUGGACAUGAAAACUUUCGCCGUGUUGGUUAUAUUUCUUACCAUGCCGAUUAUGUCUAUCCAGCUCGAGACUGAAUGUAAACCAGGAGAGUGUCUGUAUCAAGGACAAUGCUGGGAAAACUAUCGAGGAAUACAAACAACCGUCGAAAGGAAUGUCAAUACCGGAUGUCUGAAAGUUCUCGUCUGCGAUGAAGGAAUUGUCAAAGUACGGAAUGUUUGUAGACAUUGAUAUAUUCCUGAUGUAGCCUACUAUGAAGAAAGAAAAUAACAACAACGAAAGAAAGAAAAUAACAAUGACCAGAGAAAAUACGACACAGACUUUUAUCAGUGUGCUCUUGUUUCAACUAAUCAAAUAAGAUAGUAAUAUAUGUAAUGAACGAAAUAUACCUGUGAUAUUAAACAAAUGUGCUAC